RNAcentral lists this unclassified non-coding RNA (330 nucleotides) under soil metagenome. Its description in RNAcentral is "partial contains 5.8S ribosomal RNA, internal transcribed spacer 2, and large subunit ribosomal RNA". The stretch from base 1 to 121 matches the Rfam family "5.8S ribosomal RNA", at positions 35 to 154 of the family's 154-position model. The record is from RNAcentral.
GAUGAAGAACGCAGCGAAUUGCGAUAAGUAAUGUGAAUUGCAGAUUUUCAGUGAAUCAUCGAAUCUUUGAACGCACAUUGCGCCCCUUGGUAUUCCGAGGGGCAUGCCUGUUCGAGCGUCAUUAUAACCCCUCAAGCUCAGCUUGGUGUUGGGGCCUGCUGCACUGGCAGCCCUUAAAAUCAGUGGCGGCGCCAUCUGGCUCUAAGCGUAGUAAUUCUUCUCGCUAUGGAGUCCUGGUGGAUGCUUGCCAUCAACCCCCAAUUUUUCUAUGGUUGACCUCGGAUCAGGUAGGGAUACCCGCUGAACUUAAGCAUAUCAAUAAGCGGAGGA